UUUACAAUGGAGAGUUUGAUCCUGGCUCAGGAUGAACGCUAGCGGCAGGCUUAAUACAUGCAAGUCGAGGGGCAGCGGGGGUGUAGCAAUACACUCGCCGGCGACCGGCAAACGGGUGCGGAACACGUACGCAACCUACCCAGAACUGGGGGAUAGCCCGGGGAAACCCGGAUUAAUACCUCAUAAGAUAGUGGAGUGGCAUCACUCAGCUAUUAAAGCUCCGGCGGUUUUGGAUGGGCG
RNAcentral lists this ribosomal RNA (240 nucleotides) under Flavisolibacter sp. Its description in RNAcentral is "partial 16S ribosomal RNA". It matches the Rfam family "Bacterial small subunit ribosomal RNA", at positions 1 to 231 of the family's 1533-position model. Lineage: Bacteria; Pseudomonadati; Bacteroidota; Chitinophagia; Chitinophagales; Chitinophagaceae. The record is from RNAcentral.